Molecule: ribosomal RNA, 119 nt
Filed under: Octopus vulgaris (common octopus)
Lineage: Eukaryota; Metazoa; Mollusca; Cephalopoda; Octopoda; Octopodidae
Also listed under: 1 other name
Source: RNAcentral
GCUUACGGCCAUAUCACGUUGAAAGCACCGGUUCUCGUCUGAUCACCGAAGUUAAGCAACAUCGAGCCUAGUUAGUACUUAGAUGGGUGACCGCUUGGGAAACCUAGGUGCUGUAAGCA